AACGGGUGAGGAACACGUGAGAAACCUGCCUUUCAUUCUGGGAUAACACCGGGAAACCGGUGCUAAUACCGGAUACUCCGUCUUGGCGGCAUCGCCGAGCCGGGAAAAAAUUUUGAUGAAAGAUGGUCUCGCGGCCUAUCAGCUAGUUGGUGAGGUAAUGGCUCACCAAGGCGACGACGGGUAGCCGGCCUGAGAGGGCGACCGGCCACACUGGGACUGAGACACGGCCCAGACUCCUACGGGAGGCAGCAGUAGGGAAUAUUGGGCAAUGGGCGCAAGCCUGACCCAGCGACGCCGCGUGAGGGAUGAAGGUCUUCGGAUUGUAAACCUCUUUCAGUAGGGAAGAAGCGAAAGUGACGGUACCUAAAGAAGAAGCACCGGCUAACUAUGUGCCAGCAGCCGCGGUAAUACAUAGGGUGCAAGCGUUGUCCGGAAUUAUUGGGCGUAAAGAGCUCGUAGGUCGUUUGUCGCGUCGAUUGUGAAAAUCUGAGGCUCAACCUCAGACCUGCAGUCGAUACGGGCAAACUAGAGUGUGGUAGGGGAGACUGGAAUUCCUGGUGUAGCGGUGGAAUGCGCAGAUAUCAGGAGGAACACCGGUGGCGAAGGCGGGUCUCUGGGCAGUAACUGACGCUGAGGAGCGAAAGCGUGGGGAGCGAACAGGAUUAGAUACCCUGGUAGUCCACGCCGUAAACGGUGGGUACUAGGUGUGGGUUCCUUCCUUGGGAUCCGUGCCGUAGCUAACGCAUUAAGUACCCCGCCUGGGGAGUACGGCCGCAAGGCUAAAACUCAAAGAAAUUGACGGGGGCCCGCACAAGCGGCGGAGCAUGUGGAUUAAUUCGAUGCAACGCGAAGAACCUUACCUGGGUUUGACAUGCACAGGACGCACUUAGAGAUAGGUGUUCCCUUGUGGCCUGUGUGCAGGUGGUGCAUGGCUGUCGUCAGCUCGUGUCGUGAGAUGUUGGGUUAAGUCCCGCAACGAGCGCAACCCUUGUCCUAUGUUGCCAGCGCGUAAUGGCGGGGACUCGUAGGAGACUGCCGGGGUCAACUCGGAGGAAGGUGGGGAUGACGUCAAAUCAUCAUGCCCCUUAUGUCUUGGGCUGCACGCAUGCUACAAUGGCCGGUACAAGUGCUGCGAGAUCGUAAGAUUGAGCGAAUCACAUAAAGCCGGUCUCAGUUCGGAUUGAGGUCUAACC
This 1193-nucleotide ribosomal RNA is filed under the name uncultured bacterium. RNAcentral's name for it is "bacterial SSU rRNA". It matches the Rfam family "Bacterial small subunit ribosomal RNA", at positions 101 to 1312 of the family's 1533-position model. The record is from RNAcentral.